Molecule: ribosomal RNA, 450 nt
Filed under: uncultured bacterium
Lineage: Bacteria
Description: partial 16S ribosomal RNA
Rfam family: Bacterial small subunit ribosomal RNA
Source: RNAcentral
GUGGGGAAUAUUGGACAAUGGGCGAAAGCCUGAUCCAGCCAUGCCGCGUGUGUGAAGAAGGUCUUCGGAUUGUAAAGCACUUUAAGUUGGGAGGAAGGGCAGUAAGUUAAUACCUUGCUGUUUUGACGUUACCGACAGAAUAAGCACCGGCUAACUUCGUGCCAGCAGCCGCGGUAAUACGAAGGGUGCAAGCGUUAAUCGGAAUUACUGGGCGUAAAGCGCGCGUAGGUGGUUUUGUAAGUUGGAGGUGAAAUCCCCGGGCUCAACCUGGGAACUGCUUUCAAAACUGCUGAGCUAGAGUACGGUAGAGGGUGGUGGAAUUUCCUGUGUAGCGGUGAAAUGCGUAGAUAUAGGAAGGAACACCAGUGGCGAAGGCGACCACCUGGACUGAUACUGACACUGAGGUGCGAAAGCGUGGGGAGCAAACAGGAUUAGAAACCCCGGUAGUCC